RNAcentral lists this ribosomal RNA (240 nucleotides) under uncultured bacterium. Its description in RNAcentral is "partial 16S ribosomal RNA". It matches the Rfam family "Bacterial small subunit ribosomal RNA", at positions 15 to 235 of the family's 1533-position model. The record is from RNAcentral.
GACCCUGGCUCAGGAUGAACGCUGGCGGCGUGCUUAACACAUGCAAGUCGAACGAAGCACUUUAUUUGAUUUCCUUCGGGACUGAUUAUUUUGUGACUGAGUGGCGGACGGGUGAGUAACGCGUGGGUAACCUGCCUUGUACAGGGGGAUAACAGUUGGAAACGGCUGCUAAUACCGCAUAAGCGCACAGCAUCGCAUGAUGCAGUGUGAAAAACUCCGGUGGUAUAAGAUGGACCCGCG